CCUACGGGAGGCAGCAGUGGGGAAUAUUGGGCAAUGGGCGCAAGCCUGACCCAGCAACGCCGCGUGAAGGAAGAAGGCUUUCGGGUUGUAAACUUCUUUUGUCAGGGAAGAGUAGAAGACGGUACCUGACGAAUAAGCCACGGCUAACUACGUGCCAGCAGCCGCGGUAAUACGUAGGUGGCAAGCGUUGUCCGGAUUUACUGGGUGUAAAGGGCGGGUAGCCGUGUUGACAAGUCAGAUGUGAAAUCCUGCGGCUUAACCGCAGAACUGCAUUUGAAACUGUUGAUCUUGAGUACUGGAGAGGCAGACGGAAUUCCUAGUGUAGCGGUGAAAUGCGUAGAUAUUAGGAGGCACAACAGUGGCGAAGGCGGUCUGCUGGACAGCAACUGACGGUGAGGCGCGAAAGCGUGGGGAGCAAACAGGAUUAGAUACCCCUGUAGUC
RNAcentral lists this ribosomal RNA (442 nucleotides) under uncultured bacterium. RNAcentral's name for it is "partial 16S ribosomal RNA". It matches the Rfam family "Bacterial small subunit ribosomal RNA", at positions 338 to 795 of the family's 1533-position model. The record is from RNAcentral.